This 68-nucleotide transfer RNA is filed under the name Parablarinella griselda (Indochinese short-tailed shrew). RNAcentral's name for it is "tRNA-Thr". It matches the Rfam family "tRNA". Rfam says of the family: Transfer RNA (tRNA) molecules are approximately 80 nucleotides in length. Their secondary structure includes four short double-helical elements and three loops (D, anti-codon, and T loops). Lineage: Eukaryota; Metazoa; Chordata; Mammalia; Eulipotyphla; Soricidae. The record is from RNAcentral.
GUCUUUGUAGUAUAAUUAUUACACUGGUCUUGUAAAUCAGAAAUGGAGAUUUAUACCUCCCUAAGAUA